RNAcentral lists this ribosomal RNA (464 nucleotides) under uncultured bacterium. Its description in RNAcentral is "bacterial SSU rRNA". It matches the Rfam family "Bacterial small subunit ribosomal RNA", at positions 330 to 792 of the family's 1533-position model. The record is from RNAcentral.
UCCAGACUCCUACGGGAGGCAGCAGUGAGGAAUAUUGGUCAAUGGUCGGGAGACUGAACCAGCCAAGCCGCGUGAGGGAUGAAGGUACAGAGUAUCGUAAACCUCUUUUGUCAGGGAACAAAGGCGGGGACGUGUCCCCGGAUGAGUGUACCUGAAGAAAAAGCAUCGGCUAACUCCGUGCCAGCAGCCGCGGUAAUACGGAGGAUGCGAGCGUUAUCCGGAUUUAUUGGGUUUAAAGGGUGCGCAGGCGGUCUGUUAAUUCAGCGGUCAAAGCCCGGGGCUCAACCUCGUCGAGCCGUUGAAACUGGGUGCCUUGAGUGGGCGAGAAGUAUGCGGAAUGCGUGGUGUAGCGGUGAAAUGCAUAGAUAUCACGCAGAACUCCGAUUGCGAAGGCAGCAUACCGGCGCCCAACUGACGCUGAAGCACGAAAGCGUGGGUAUCGAACAGGAUUAGAUACCCGUGUA